UGGCUCCUAGCUUCAGCCCUACA
This 23-nucleotide non-coding RNA is filed under the name Mus musculus (house mouse). Lineage: Eukaryota; Metazoa; Chordata; Mammalia; Rodentia; Muridae. The record is from RNAcentral.